UAUAAAUUACACGAAACAAUCAAGUUCCCUAAAUCAGCACUUGAGUUCCCUAAAGGCUUGUUCCAUACUGUCGUUUCACAUUCUCUGUCAAGUUUUUCCCUUCAAACACACACACAUACUGACAACGUACACUGUGAUUUUCUCAUUGAAAAAUGGCUGUGAGCACCUAUGAAAAGCUUCAGAAUUGUAUUUCCCCACAUCAUUUAUUUUCUUUGGGCUGCCGAGUCUUUCUCCCAUGCUUCAUGCUCUGGCUGCGGUGAGCUGAGAGAGAACAGGACACGCCUAAAAAACCCUAAAGUGUCUCUGGUGGCCGGUGUCAGUUGUGCACAGAGAUUGUGGUCCUUGGCCCCGACCCAAGGAUUAGGUGUUCCAGGGAAGAGAGAUUUCUUGGCCCUUGCCAAUCCCCAAGAGUGCUUUGGGAAUUGUGUGUUUGUGUAUAUGUGCUUUUUCCUCCUCCCUUCCCACCUCCUCUGCACUUGAGUUUUACGCCAUCUUUCUCCUCCUCCUCAAAAUGCCCACGAAAGCACGCGGAUGGCAUAAUCAGGGCCUGCCCUGGCUGGGUGGGUUUAAAAAGACUGACAAAAUGUAGCUUGGAUUGUGAAGGGGGACAAAUCUAGUAAUAUAGUCAAACAGAGUGGGAGAGUGAGAAAGGGGGGAGAGAGAGAGAGUGAGCAGUCGAAACAGUGAACGGUGGGGAAUCUUGGGCAAAGGAGGUAAGACAGGAUAUGAAAACAAUGGACUCAUUGUAGAGAGAUGAUAGAAGGAUGAGAAGGAGAUCGGUGGAACACAGCACCAUCUACAGGCUGAUAGAGCACACCAUAAGAUGAUCGCAUGAAGACGACCAGAAGUGGUUGCAACACGAGAAAGAGUGACUCACUUUGAAACCCUCUUUGACGUGUUUCCACAUAAAAGGCUUCGACAAACAAGAGAGAGGUGACCGUUUUGUAGCCCCACCACCUUUCCUGUGCCAAAAAUGCCAACUGUAACAACAAAGAGUGGCAGAUGCCAAGGGAAUCCCAGACGAAUGACCUCCGUGAAGCCGGCCUACCAAAGAGAAGCAAAUAUUUACCCUGCGUGUUUGAACCCAUGGCACAGUGCCACGGCUGCCCCUCAGAGUGCAUACCGGCCCGAUAGGCUUACUCGUCCUCUAACUUUACUCCCUGGGUACUCACUAUAUGACGCCAGAAAAAUCUUCUCAGUUUUCAACCAUCAUAUCAUAGAGUGGGUCAUGACAGAAAGGGUCCAGCACAUCCCAGAGCUCAGCCGCCCUGAGACCAAAGUCUCCUUACGGGACACUAACUUCAAAGUCCAUUUUGGAAGGACUGAUCUGAAGAAGACGAACCGGUCUCUGAUAACCAACAGAGCAGUCGGGAUCAGUGGAGAAGCCACCAAAUGAGAUCUCCUGGGCAUCAAACACACACAAUACAUAAAAUAUGUGCAUAUCAUAUUAAUGUGCUGUUCUAUUCUUCUGUUGAGGUGAAGCUGGAUGGAAUAUGCUGGCUGUCUUGACUGUGCAUGAUUUACUCUAUAGUAAACAGUUUUGCAUGGAAAACAUAUUGGCUCUAGUUUUGCGCGACUCUUUGACUCAGACUCUCCUCUUGGAAGAAUUUGCAGGUCAUACCAGGAUGCAAAACUGCACAUCUGACCCACCUGUGCACUCCAUGACCCCAUAACCCAUCAUCCUCCAUCAGAUUAGCAUGUCCACUCCAAGAAAUGAGCUCUCAAAUCAGCAUUUAAUCUGUCAGGAGAACAACAACAACUGCAGCGUGGUGCAAUAUAGAACAGAUGUGCAAGAUCUAUGACAAGAAAAUGCCUUGAUGCUAUGUGUCAGCCAUCAUUUAAAAACAAAUAAAUAAAUCAGACUCAAUCUGAUAAAAGGGCCCAGAAUAGGUGCGGUGGAAAUUGAGAAACUCUGAAAAUCUUUCAGAUGUCUGUCUGCAUUAGGCUAUUGUCCUUUAAUCUGACUCCCACCAUGCUGGAUUGAAAUCCCUGUGUCCUGUAGGAGCAAUCAUCAGCUACAUUAUGGGGAAGGGGAGGUUAAGAGGCAAAAUGGAGAUGCGAACAAUGUGUUAAGCUCUGUCAAAAAAAAGAAAAAAAAAGAAAAGAGGAUUGCAGUGGAUAUUGAAUCAAUCACUAGAGCUACUGACUUUAUGACUCUACUAAGCUUGUUCUACUAGAUAGACAGGUGCUAUUGUUUUGAGAACAGCGAUCCAGGGUGAAAUGUUUGAAAAAUUCUUCAAUGGUAAACAAAAAGUAACUUUUUUCCUGAAAUAUUCCACAUCAAGCUCCGUGUCGAAAAUGCAUGACUCCAGGAGUUGGCAUGCGGCAGCGGUUCCAGCCUGCUCAGCCCACGCCGUCUCUAAAGACCCUUAAACCAAAGCAAACGUUUCAACAACAUUUCCAUCCAUUCCUGCUCUAACAGUGUGAUGAGAGCAGGUUAAAGCUGUAAGCCAUCAAAGUCUGCCGAGCAGCAUGCCCUGUUUGAAACUCAUCUGGAUCCCCCAUAAACACUCCACUGCUAAUUGGCUGCACAUGUGGCACUGAGUGCAUUUUAGCAUGCGUUAGUGUGUGUGUGCCACAGCGUUGUAGAACGUGCAUGCGUGUGUUGGCAUACAACAUGGCUUAUCAGUCUGAUCAAAGACAGCCUUUCCUUAAACUGUCUGCAAUAUGAAAGGCACACAAAGGCAGGAAUAGCUUCAUCGUAAAUAUCUGAUCUGGAGAGUAAUUGGUACCUGUCUCGGAGAUCUGGCUCUUUGAUCGACACUCCUUUCCUCUUCCGUAGUUUAAAUGUGGAAAUAUAUUUAUUGGUGGCUCCCCCACAUCCGAUCGUCAUGCGCCAUCUGGGCAGGGUGCUAAAAGAUGCUCGCCGCCAAACGUCCUCUCUGAGCUCACAAAACUGUCCUCGCUUCUUGCCACACAGCAUAUGAGAAAUACCUGAGAAGAAUGGCAUACAAUUUUACUAUCAAAAAGGAAAACUGUUUAAAUUUCUUGAAUGAUAAAUA
This is a long non-coding RNA of Carassius auratus (goldfish), 3002 nucleotides long. RefSeq lists it as uncharacterized. The transcript has 4 exons. The record is from RefSeq and is a predicted model, not a curated record. Lineage: Eukaryota; Metazoa; Chordata; Actinopteri; Cypriniformes; Cyprinidae.